Molecule: long non-coding RNA, 159 nt
Organism: Boleophthalmus pectinirostris (great blue-spotted mudskipper)
Lineage: Eukaryota; Metazoa; Chordata; Actinopteri; Gobiiformes; Gobiidae
Exons: 3
Source: RefSeq, a predicted model, not a curated record
GAAGGAGAAGGACACACAAGAGCGGCUCAUUCAUAUCAAUGAACAGAUGGAUGAAGGAGAACUCUUGCAUCACCAUGUAGUAACUACAACCACGGUUCAUUCCCAGAUGGUUCGUUGAAGGAUGUCCAUGGAGAGAUCAGGAGAUGACUGUACACAAGC